RNAcentral lists this transfer RNA (50 nucleotides) under Campanula dasyantha subsp. chamissonis. Its description in RNAcentral is "partial tRNA-Leu". The record is from RNAcentral. Lineage: Eukaryota; Viridiplantae; Streptophyta; Magnoliopsida; Asterales; Campanulaceae.
AAAUCCGUCGAUUUUCAAAAUCGUGAGGGUUCAAGUCCCUCUAUCCCCAA